AUUGAACGCUGGCGGCAUGCCUUACACAUGCAAGUCGAACGGCAGCGGGCCUUCGGGUGCCGGCGAGUGGCGAACGGGUGAGUAAUGCAUCGGAACGUGCCAUUGAGUGGGGGAUAACGUAGCGAAAGUUGCGCUAAUACCGCAUAUUCUGUGAGCAGGAAAGCAGGGGACCGCAAGGCCUUGCGCUCUUUGAGCGGCCGAUGUCAGAUUAGCUAGUUGGUGAGGUAGAGGCUUACCAAGGCGACGAUCUGUAGCGGGUCUGAGAGGAUGAUCCGCCACACUGGAACUGAGACACGGUCCAGACUCCUACGGGAGGCAGCAGUGGGGAAUUUUGGACAAUGGGGGCGAACCCUGAUCCAGCCAUGCCGCGUGAGUGAAGAAGGCC
This 385-nucleotide ribosomal RNA is filed under the name uncultured bacterium. RNAcentral's name for it is "bacterial SSU rRNA". It matches the Rfam family "Bacterial small subunit ribosomal RNA", at positions 30 to 416 of the family's 1533-position model. The record is from RNAcentral.